Molecule: long non-coding RNA, 1505 nt
Organism: Nicotiana tabacum (common tobacco)
Lineage: Eukaryota; Viridiplantae; Streptophyta; Magnoliopsida; Solanales; Solanaceae
Source: RefSeq, a predicted model, not a curated record
GCUAAAAAAACACGGCUAGAGCUAAGACCCUAACACUGAAAAUCAAGCGCCGCAAUUCUCAAAAAGAAACCCUCCCCCCAUUGCUUCUAGUCUUCCUCUUCAAAGAAUCGACGGACAAUCCACCAUUUUUGAACAAAAAUGAAGAAGGGUUAAAAGCCUUCAGCUGCUGGAACGUAAAGAGAUUCACCAUCACCCUCACCUCGCCGGAACAACCACGAACUAAACUUCCUCUUUCACCUUCAACCUCCAUCGCGAACCCGCCCUUUACCACCAAGCAGUGUCUCUACCAGCCAUCGAGACUUCUUCGUCUAGAACGCAAACACACGCACACGCUGAAGCAACAGAGAAGCAAGGGCAGUGAACGAAAAAAAGGGCUGAAAAAAGUGAGGAGCCCAAAAGCUCGUUUAACAGUCUUUUCCGGCGAGUCUCGAGUUUUUUCUGACUGUUAUGCUGGUUCCUUGUCGAGGUUGAAUCCAUCUUAGAGCUCGUUUGUAAGAUCUGUUCGGCGCUAGAUAUUGAAGUUUCUGAGUUCGUUGAGGUCCGGUGCAUCGAGGUCGUCAACCGUAGCUCUGGCCGGAUUUUUUUUGUUCAUUGUUUCAAAAACGUAUUGCUAUAUAAAGAUUUGAACCCAAAAUUUACAAUCAGCUAAAUUUGAGGAGAAGUGAGUUUCAACAGAACAUCGACUCGAUCUUUCUGAGUUGAUUUGUAUCCGUGAAGUCGACUCGAGUUCCUUGUUGCUCGGUGACUGAAUCUGUAGAAGGAAUUUGAGCUCAGUUCUUGCUUGAGUUUUUGAGUUGUUUAACUUCAAUUGUACUGGAAAGUUUGACUAGCUGCUGUUGAAUUUUGAUCGAGAACUUGUUGUCAAGUUUUUAGUUGAAUCUGAUAGUGUCUACUGCUGCACUGAAUACUUGUGUGAAUUUUUCGAUGUAAUUUCUGCUUUGGUUUCUGCUGAGUUCAUUGAGUAGUUUGGUCAAAUUUUGGUUGGAUUUUGAAUUGGAUACCUAAGUUUCUAAACUGAAAUUCAUCUUAGUCUACUGUUGAAUGAGAGGCUUGAAUUAUUGAAUGGUUUUGGUUCUAGUUUGGGAGUUAAAGUUGAUUUCUCUGAUGUAUUGAAGCUGAAAAUUUGGUAUAGCUGUUCCAACUGCUGAGGUUCUGAUUCAAUGCUGUUGUGAUUCCAAUACUUUGUUUCCACUAUUGAGGUCGACAUUCUGAGCUGGAAAUUUGUGUCUACUGCUGCUGAAUUUAGUGCUCAAGGUGUUGCUGAAGUUCUGAGCAGCAAUUGAAUAGCAAACCUACACCAACUUGUUCGAGUCUUAGAAUUUUGCAUUUAAUUGAAAUCUGUUGAUUUAAUACAAGUUCCCUAAGCACUGUUUUUAUUUUUCUGCAACAUUUAUUGAACCUGAAAUUGGGUUUGGACAUUAGAGCUUGUUUGAAGAAUUUUGAACUCAAAUACGAGUGUUUUGGACUGCUAUUGGAAGCUGUUGAAACAACCUUAAAAUUCUGCA